AAAAAAAUCAGGAAACUGGUGCUCAAAAAGGAAAAGUGACUCACCAAGGUCACAGACUAGGCAGUGAUGCUGGGGGAACCUGGCUCAGGGGACACAGACCUGGCCUGGGGCAGCCUUGCAGCUCCUCCACUAAAAUACUGAAAAUGAGGGGCUUCGAUGAUGGUUAUAAUCGUAUGGCAGAGCCCCAACUCAACUGGAGCCCUGGGACCCAGAAGCUAGGGUCUCACUCCCUGCUUUUCCACAAGGCACCAUUAGGGCAUCACCCCAGGCCUCGGCAGCCACGACGCAGGGAUCCUGCCUCUCAUUGGUUGGGGGCUUAGGGGCUCUGGGCUGCCCUCUUGAAGAGGGGGUUCAGCCCAGCGAGGCACCCCCUAUGCUGCACCCCACCAAGGUUAGGAAGAGGUCCUGUCCUCAGUGGGGCCCUCUGAUGAACAGCCCAUCAGGUCUGCGUCCACAUGCCUUGGAAGAGAUGGUGACAUACUCAAAGUCCUUGAAGCCGCAUAUUAAACCACCUAGAGCACCAUCUUCAAACAUUUAGGGUCUGAGAAGAUAGGGGAAGUAAGCAAUUUAAAACAUUUCUUUAUAUUGGGCCAGGUGCAAUGGCUCACGUCUGUAAUCCCAGCGCUUUGGGAGGACGAGGAUCACCUGAGGUCAGGAGUUCAAGAUCAGCCUGGCCAACAUGGAGAAACCCCAUCUCUACUAAAAAUACAAAAAUUAGCUCAGGCGUGGUGAUGUGCACCUGUAAUCCUAGCUAUUCAGGAGGCUGAGGCACAAGAAUUGCUUGAGUCAAUAUUGCACCACUGCACUCCAGCCUGGGCAACAGCGAGACUCUUGUCUCAAAAAAAAAAAAAGAUAUUUGCUGAAAAGACCCAGCCUGCCAAACUCAGGGGCAGCCAAGGGAGGUAGUGAAAUGGAAGUUGGAGCUCAGCGCUCCCUCACCUCCACUGCCCUCAGGCCUUCUCUGCCUCUUUCCCAUCAGUCAGCUGCUUCUGGGCAUGGUCCUGGCAGAGACUUGGCCUCCUUCCAGUUCAAGCUCCCUCUUAGAUUGUGUCCCACGCCACUGAGUCUCUGGGACACUGGGUCAGUUGUCUAGUCUGGCACAAUUGGCAGGAAUCCCAAGAAACAGUGUGAGUGAGGGGACAGUCGUGUUGAGUGCCCUCCAUCUGGGACUGGGAGGCAGGUCUAUGUCAGGCCUGCAUUUAGAUCUCUAAUAGCUCCAGACAAGCCCCUUCAGCUCACUAAGCCUGUUUCCUAACACAGCUGUGGGAUGGUGCUUUGGUUUACAUAGCACGCGAUACCAUCAUAGAUCACAUGGGGAAACUGAGGCCCCAGGAGUGAUCUGCUGGCACAUGCAGUGACAAGAGGAGAGGCCCAUCUCAGCCUUGCAGCAAGGUUGCCAGAAAUCGAUUCUCGCCCCCAUCCCGUAAAGCCUCUCUGCAUCACCUGCUUCCCACAGCAGCAGCCUGGGCCUCCAAAGGGCACAUUCAGAUUUGAGGGAUUUGGGGAGUUUGUGGGCAAGGGCAGACUACUAUGGGCUUUUGGGUGAACCCCAAGGGAAUGCAAAGAAGCCCCCUGCCAUUCUCCAUGAAUGGAGCUGAAUGCCCUAGCCCCCCAUUCUUCCACGUGGGAGUAUCCUCUUGAGAGUCCUGCUGGCUGUUGGUCAAGGCAGGUUAAAAGCUGAGGCUUAAAGUAGCCAGGGGUAGUGGCUCCCGCCUGUAAUCCUAGCAACUUGGGAGACUGAGGCAAGAGGAUCAAUUGAGCUCAAGAACUGGAGGCUACAAUGAGGUAUGAUCACACCACUGCACUGUACUCCAGCCUUGGGGAAAGAGCAAGACCCUG
RNAcentral lists this long non-coding RNA (1839 nucleotides) under Homo sapiens (human). RNAcentral's name for it is "PREDICTED lncRNA (TCONS_00177065)". The record is from RNAcentral. Lineage: Eukaryota; Metazoa; Chordata; Mammalia; Primates; Hominidae.